AGUGAGCGGCAAAGCUCAAAUUUGAAAUCUAGCACCUUCGGUGUUCGAGUUGUAAUUUGAAGAUGGUAACCUUGGGUUUGGCUCUUGUCUAUGUUCCUUGGAACAGGACGUCAUAGAGGGUGAGAAUCCCGUCUGAUGAGAUGCCCAUUCCUAUGUAAGGUGCUAUCGAAGAGUCGAGUUGUUUGGGAAUGCAGCUCUAAGUGGGUGGUAAAUUCCAUCUAAAGCUAAAUAUUGGCGAGAGACCGAUAGCGAACAAGUACAGUGAUGGAAAGAUGAAAAGAACUUUGAAAAGAGAGUGAAAAAGUACGUGAAAUUGUUGAAAGGGAAGGGCAUUAGAUCAGACUUGGUGUUUUACGAUUAUCUUCUCUUCUUGAGUUGUGCACUCGUAUUUCACUGGGCCAGCAUCGAUUCGGAUGGCAAGAUAAUGGCAGUUGAAUGUGGCUUCACUUCGGUGGAGUGUUAUAGCUUCUGCUGAUAUUGCCUGUCUGGAUCGAGGGCUGCGUCUUUUGACUAGGAUGCUGGCGUAAUGAUCUAAUGCCGCCCG
This 544-nucleotide ribosomal RNA is filed under the name Hansenula anomala. RNAcentral describes it as "Wickerhamomyces anomalus partial large subunit ribosomal RNA". It matches the Rfam family "Eukaryotic large subunit ribosomal RNA", at positions 92 to 651 of the family's 3401-position model. The record is from RNAcentral. Lineage: Eukaryota; Fungi; Ascomycota; Saccharomycetes; Phaffomycetales; Wickerhamomycetaceae.